Molecule: non-coding RNA, 148 nt
Filed under: Pan paniscus (pygmy chimpanzee)
Lineage: Eukaryota; Metazoa; Chordata; Mammalia; Primates; Hominidae
Also listed under: 1 other name
Source: Rfam by way of RNAcentral
GCUGGGCAUGGUGGCGCGUGCCUGUAGUCCCAGCUACUCGGGAGGCUGAGGCAGGAGAAUCGCUUGAACCCGGGAGGUGGAGUUUGCAGUGAGCCGAGAUCGCGCCAUUGCACUCCAGCCUGGGCGGCAGAGCGAGACUCUGCCUCCA